CAGGAGUUUAAACAGCAAAAGCCAUAUAAAUUGGAUUAGAAUUCUAUGCACUCCAGAAUAGCUAGGUAAUACUGUAAUUCUUAGGGGUAUAAUAAGAAAAACAUUUGAACUUAGCACAUGGAAGAGACGUCAAGAGCGUACAAAGUGCAUGCACGUCUGUAAUCCUAAACUCUGUAUACAAAACAUGUCUCUGAGCAAUACCUCUUUAAGGCCCCAAGUGUCCUUGUUGCACAUGCAAAAUCUAGCACAGCAAAUAAUGGAUGCCAAAGUACUCGUCGAUUUAAGAAAGGAAGAGGCAGGAAAAGAGAACAAGACGGAGCAAAGAUCAGGGUAAUAAUCAACGGGGAGUGGGAGGAAGGGAAGCCAUGGCCAGGCCACAGCCUGGUAUUUUAAAUGGUGCUAAAUGGCAAUAAGUACUGUAACUUCCCUCUCUCCAGCAAAGAUCGCGAUCCCUUUACACGUUUCCUCACAAGUAAGCCCCGCUGUGCCCAAAGGGAAUCCUUCCCAUUACCGUGCAAUGAGUUGCAGCAAAAUAAAAAUAAACCCUUUCCCUCCCUCUCUCUCUCUGUGUGUUUGUGUGUGUGGUUUUUACGUCUUAUCCCAUCUUCCAAGCUACUCGCUGUUCAAGCUACCCAAUUCUCUAUACGCGGCUACUCAACGAAUCGAGAGUCAUCCAUACGGUCUCCCCGAAACCACCUUCCAAGAGAAGGACCUCUUCAUACAGAAACUAGAUGUCUGGGGAUGUAGGCCGGUCUGCAACUGAAGAUUCAACUGUCUAGGUAUUGUCUGUAUCGUUUAUUAUUGCAUUUUAAUGACUUGGUUUUAUUAUAUUUUAAUCGCAAUUUUGUUUUUCAUUCUCCAUUACAGUAAUUUAUUAUUGCAUUUUAUUGACUUGGUUUUCAUAUUAUAUUUUAAUCACAAUUUUGUUUUUCAUUCUCCAUUACAGUAUUAAGAGCUUCCUUUGGCAUCUUCCAGUGGAAAUGCACAGUGUAUGUGACCAAGACAGACAAAUGGACAGAUCUUGUUCCUGUACUGAUGGCACUGCUCAAAGAGGAGUUUUAACAGAUGGAUCAAGCAGUGGGUGAAACGUGUUUUUUGUAUUAUUUGGGGGGGAAAGUGAUAAAAAACAAUAGGCUUUGGGAAGGGGUUGAUAAGCUUUCUGGGCUCAAUGGCUGCAAUUCCCCUGUGGCCAAAUUGGGCAGGUGGGAGGGUGCCUUCCUUUGUUAGAUGAGGCCACAAAAAUGCUGAAGGACAUUCAUGGAGGUGGCAUGGCACAAUGCAGUUUGCACUGAAGAUGAAUGGAGAGAAGCAGAGGCAGGUGGAGGAGAAUCGCCUUGGGUUUCUUAGAUUGUCCUUUACUUGUCCUAAUCUGUAAAUUUCUUCCUUCAUCUAGACCAGUGGUUCCCAACAUUGGGUAACCCAGGUGCUCUUGGACUGCAAUUCCCAGAAGCCUUCACCACCAGCUGAUCAGAGUAUUUGGGAACUGAAGUCCAAGAACAUUUUGUUUACCCAAGACUGGGAACCACUGAUCUAGAACGAUACUCUUAGGAUUGCUGAUGUCAUUUCCUUCCUUUCUCUCAUUGUCUCUCAACCUUCUCCUACAGAGGAGACAUACUGCUUUUGUUCCUGAGAGGGAUUGGAAACCUGCUCCCUGGCUCUCCAUCUCCAUUAGCUGAAAUUAGGAUUCCUAACAUAGUUCCUAUUUUGAUAUGUUUCUGUAAUAAAACUACCUUUCUUAUUUUCUCA
RNAcentral lists this long non-coding RNA (1746 nucleotides) under Pogona vitticeps (central bearded dragon). RNAcentral's name for it is "lncRNA (ENSPVIG00000016884.1)". Lineage: Eukaryota; Metazoa; Chordata; Lepidosauria; Squamata; Agamidae. The record is from RNAcentral.